AUGGAUAACUUUGUUGCAAAAGAACCACAUAUGUCCUCUAAUAAUCAAUCACAGGAUCAAGGCCUCACAGUUGAAAAUAAUGUUAACCUUGAUAGAGAUGAACAAGCAGAGAAAGAAACUAAUGAUGAGGUUGAUGAAGAUCUUAUUGGUAACACAAACAUUGAUAUGGAUAAUAAUGGUGAUGACAUCGGGACAACUAGUAUUGAUGUUAACGCAAAUACUUCACCUGUUGCGGAUGUCGGUUGUUCAUUUCAUGUUGAUAUAUUUGAUCCAAGAAACUGGGGUUCUCUUGAUCCUAAGCAGAUUGACAUUUUAGCACAAAAGGGCCCUAAAAGAGACUCACAAUUUCAGAAAGGUCCCAAGGAUAGAUAUUCUAGAAGACUAUUUACAAAAGGGCAUAGGCAAGGUCAGUUGGCGAAUGAGGAGUGUGAUGAUUGGAUACAUGUUGGCAGUAGACUUAAAGAGCAUGAGACAAGUGCAGAUCAUGUUUUGAAUAUGACCACUUGGUAUGAGCUGCGUACUGCUACCUCCUAUCCGGAUUUACAUUCAGAAACUUCAAUUCAACUUAUGUUGGCCAAUAAUAGAUCUAGGGAUACGCGCAAGCCUUAUAAACCGGAAGGUAGUAGAUUGCAGAAGCAUCAAACUAUUGAUAAAGAUGCUCAAGGACAACUUGAGAAUAAAAAGGAGCACCGGAGAUUGCACCAGGGAAUCUCAUAUAUGAAGGAAAGCAUCAUGGGGUACAAAGGAGACUUCUGA
RNAcentral lists this ribosomal RNA (756 nucleotides) under Triticum aestivum (bread wheat). Its description in RNAcentral is "partial small subunit ribosomal RNA". Lineage: Eukaryota; Viridiplantae; Streptophyta; Magnoliopsida; Poales; Poaceae. The record is from RNAcentral.